Molecule: ribosomal RNA, 380 nt
Filed under: uncultured eukaryote
Lineage: Eukaryota
Description: partial 18S ribosomal RNA
Rfam family: Eukaryotic small subunit ribosomal RNA
Source: RNAcentral
CAAUAGCGUAUAUUAAAGUUGUUGCAGUUAAAAAGCUCGUAGUUGGAUUUGUGGCGUACGGUGUGUUCCGGGCACUUGUUGUCUGAGUAACCUGCUGUUUCCAUCCUUGGGUGGAACCUGUGUGGCAUUAGGUUGUCGUGCAGGGGAUGCCCAUCAUUUACUGUGAAAAAAUUAGAGUGUUCAAAGCAGGCUUAUGCCGUUGAAUAUAUUAGCAUGGAAUAAUGAGAUAGGACUUUUUUGCUAUUUUGUUGGUUUGCGCAAGAAGGUAAUGAUUAAUAGGGACAGUUGGGGGUAUUCGUAUUCCAUUGUCAGAGGUGAAAUUCUUGGAUUUUUGGAAGACGAACUACUGCGAAAGCAUUUACCAAGGAUGUUUUCAUUAA